This 29-nucleotide non-coding RNA is filed under the name Bombyx mori (domestic silkworm). The record is from RNAcentral. Lineage: Eukaryota; Metazoa; Arthropoda; Insecta; Lepidoptera; Bombycidae.
UACAGUUGCAUCGUUGCUGUAGUUGCAAA